CUUUGUGAUUGGUUGAAGAGCUUGUUGAAGGUGGGAUAUAGGUGGGUGGAUUCGGAGCAGAUGGCCGAGUAUGACCCUUAAGAAGCUUCCGGCAUGGGACAGGAAACUCCGGCGAUGGUGCAGGUGUAGCUUUGUGAUUGGUUGAAGAGCUUGUUGAAGGUGGGAUAUAGGUGGCUGGAUUCGGAGCAGAUGGCCGAGUAUGACCCUUAAGAAGCUUCCGGCGUAGGACAGGAAACUCCAGCGAUGGUGCAGGUGCACCUUUGUGAUUGGUUGAAGAGCUUGUUGAAGGUGGGAUAUAAGUGCCUGGAUUCGGAGCAGAUGGCCGGGUAUGACCCUUAAGAAGCUUCCGGCGUAGGACAGGAAACUCCGGCGAUGGUGCAGGUGCAACUUUGUGAUUGGUUGAAGUGCAUGUUGAAUCUGGGAUAUAGGUGGCUGGCGCAGAUGUUGUAAUGAUCUUAGUAGCAAAGGACUUUUCAUUGAUCCGGCUGUUGCCAGUGGUCGGAGAAAUGGUCAAGGCAACAGAUGUUGUAAUGAUGUCAGUAGCAAAGGCCUUUUCCUUGAUCUGGCUGUCGUGGGUGGUCGGAGAAUUGGGGAAGGCAACAGUUGUGGUAAAGAACUCAGAGCUUAACUGGUUAGGUGUAGCGGCUAAGCAUGAGUUCAUGUAGGAACAAAUGGCAAGUACUAUGAAAAGGGAUGCAGCAAAGAAUUGUUUAGAAGAUAGGCUUUCCAUCUCUCUCUAUCUGAGUACUAGUGUGGAGAUUUGUAGUUUGUGCAAGGGUAAUGGCUGAAGGGUUACCAAUAUAUAUAUUUAUAUAAACUUUGUAGGGGGCAUCACUUGCUGGGUUGCCAACUUGUCCCAAAUAUGUGUUGGGCAACGAGUUCGCAUAUCCGAAAGCAUGCAUAGCGGAAAAAUUCAAACAGCUGUUACUUAAGAUGAAUAAGGACAGAGGGACCAAAAAGCAGAUUCUUUUUGCCCACUAUUUCUUUAUAAGAGGUGACACGUGUCCUUCUCUUCUAA
Quercus lobata is the source of this 1018-nucleotide long non-coding RNA. RefSeq lists it as uncharacterized. Lineage: Eukaryota; Viridiplantae; Streptophyta; Magnoliopsida; Fagales; Fagaceae. The transcript is spliced from 2 exons. The record is from RefSeq and is a predicted model, not a curated record.